UCUCUUUGUUGAAGUAGAAUUGGACAUUUCGGGGGUCCGGACUGGAGUGCUGACGACACUGCUUCUGCAAACUCUUAGCCAGACUCUCUGGUCCACACAAGAACACUCCCACUGCUGACCUGCCAGUCGCAAGGGUGAAAGACAGCACAUCAAAACAAGCCCUACAAUUUAGAUCAAGCUGUAUGCACAGGUCAUAUAUAGGCUGCACUUUAAAAAAAGCAACAACAUGGCAAUUCUGUUUCCAGAAAUGUUGCAUGCUGUGAUCUGAAAAAUAAUGCAACUUAAAGGAAAUGCCUGUAUGUUUAGGCUUAUUUUGCACGGUCGGGGGAUCCUAGGAUUUUUCUGUUUGAGCAUGCAUUGGAGUGUGCCCCAAGAAGCAAUAUAUUUUUAAUUUGUUUAAUGCAAGUACUUCAACUAUAGAUGGUGAGCGCUGUAAGCAUUCUUUAGCCACAAAAGAGAGGCUCUCUAGCCCAUCGCCUGCCAUGGCAUGUGCAGGUAUAAACAUCAUGGCCCUUGCUUGAGAAUUUCUUUUACUCAUAUUCAGAUUUAAUGCCUGGAUUAAUUAGACAAGUUCAUAAGAUUAAUUGUUUAAGAUUUCUUUAAGUAGCCCUCGUAAGGACCAGCCCAAAGCACUGAAGCCCUGUGACCUGACUGCUAUACAACCUCCAUCAUCAUUACCACAAGGACUUUCUUGGGGAGGGGCAUCUAUCAAUGGCAGAGCAAAUGUUUUCCUUGCAGAAGUUUGGAAGUUUAGCCCCUUGCCCGUGGAUGGAAAGAAAAGAAGUAUAUGCAGAUGUAAGUGAUCGGCACAAUUUCAUGCAGAUUCCAGCUUCCUCCAGUUCAACCCUGGUGUACAAGCAGCAGCCCUCACCUGGGGUGGGCACUGGCCACGGCAGAGAAUUCGUUGCUCCACAUGGGUCUUCCAAAGGAGGUCUUCUGCCUCAGGCCCGUCACCAAGUCGGUGGACCUGUCAAAGUUGAGGGCUGCUUGACCAACCUGGAUGCCCAGCAAAGAAAGACAGCUAAAGUCAGGCACGUCUCACAGCAGCCGCAAAAGUAUUCCAAACCAUUUCCUAAAAUGUGUCCUUUGGCUCUUUGGGACUCCUUUGUCACUGUGGUUUGCAAUCAGCAAAACCACAUGGUGUUCAAGUUAAAUAAGCAUACCUGUGCACAAUCCUGGAUUCUGCACUCAUUCUGCACAAACUAAAUGGUUUGCGACUUAGUUCACUUAGGAACCUGCUGAGUUUCUGCGCUUCUUUUCUGAGGCUUUAAUCCUGCCUUCCAAGAUGAGAUCUGUCACAACUGUGGGCAGGACUUUCCUCGAAGUGGAACCCUGCUUAUGAAUUCCUUCCCCAGAGACAUUGGCUUGGUGCUACUCUUUGCUCUUUCAGAUGUUAAAUCCAAACAUUUGAUGUGUGGUCAUUUACAUUUUAGCCUGUUUUAAAACAACUUUUAUUUGUCUAAUAUUCAUUGUUGUCUUUUCUUGCAGAUCCAAGUAAAGGUUGCACUGGAGAGAGCAGUGCUUCACAUUUCAGGGCAAGGAGCUUCAUGGGCACCAAGAAGGACGUCCACAGGCACUUCAGCGCCCCCAAACCCUGGAAUAAAGUUGCUGGUAUUUUUUUUUCUUGAUAGAUGAGCCCAGCAGUUUUCCAGGGGAUCAGGGCAUCUUUCUGGGAAAGGCAUCUAUGGAUCAGCAGUCCUGCCUGCCAACGGAGUCUUGGCUUGCAAGGGUCAGCUUUCCAUAUGGCAACUCACCAUACUGCUGCUCCAGCCUGUGAGGAAGAGGUGGUAACUCAAGAAACCAGUUCUGCCAGACCCUUCCAUCUCGAGCUCCAGGGAAGCCAGAAGGUCUUUGAACCAGGCAAAGGCUCCUGUCUCACGGCAGAUCCAGUAGAAAUAGAUCUAGAAGCCCAUAAGUAAAGAGAAGCAGAAAGAUGGCUCUGAUGAGAGUCACUACAGCCCCCCUGCUUGUCAAACUCAGGUGCUGUGCAGCAGUGGCAUCAUAAUAUUUGCAAGGUGGGAACACAGAUCCAGCUUCCGUGCCUCCCUCUGCACCAGGAAAUUGUGGGUUGAUGCCAGUGCAAAGAACUUUGUGCAGUUCUCUGUCCCACAUAAAUCUACCAAUCCCAGGCUUCCCUGGACAGGGAUGGGGGCAGGAAUUACUGUUUAGCUUGCAUGUCUGAAGAAAGAGAGAAAGAGGGAGGACAAGGGACAUACGUAUUGCAAAAAUGUAUCUGGACUCCUUUUUACGCGCAUGCAUUCUGGAUCUGACAAGAAGGAAGGAAGAGUGCCGCUUUAAGAUAGAGAGGCAUGUUUGCCUGGGCGUGCAUCUUAUUUUUGUCCUGAUAUUCUAUUAUAGGGAAGUAGGUUUUGCAGAGUCUUGAACCAUUCCCUAAACUGUUUGGCUGGAGAUCAAAGUGGGGAGAACAUGCACAACACUGGUACUAUUGAAACUUUUUUUUUUCAGGACUGGUCCAUGGCAUUUUGCGGCUUGAGGCAAAGGAAGCUGACUGCACCAGCAGCUCAAUGUUACAUCAGCAUGAGAGCUUCCACCACAAUGGAAGGCAGCAAGCUAGUUAAGGAGGACCUGGUAGGCACCUGCGCACACCUAGCUCCAUCCUCCAACAUCCUGCCGCUCUGCAGCAUCCGCUGCCCUCAAUGCCAGCCAUGUUUUGUCCCUGACACUUUCUUGGGGAUGGGAGGAAGGUAUGCUCUCUAGUCCGAGAAACAUGGUGAUCGUGGGAAGCUUCCCACAGUGCAGUGCGGCAACAGUGCUCUCCUGCAAGCAGGACAAGCAAACAUAGGUCUCGGAGCUGCAGGACAGUUCUACCUUACCUGUCUGGUUUGCAGCGUCUGGUCACCGUGCUGUAAUUUGAACCAGAUGGAUUUCAGCACCGAGGCAAAGGGUGUCACCCCGAUCCCUGCUCCCACCAACAUGGCCACCUUGUACUUGAAGACAUCCUCACUGGCUGUGCCAAAGGGACCGUCCACAUUGAUUCUGGAAAGCGUGAGCUGCCCAGAGAGCCCUCAGGCUAUGCCACACCCCACCAGUGGCCUGGAGCUCAGCCUGCCGCUUACUUGGGUGACGUCGGCAUCUGCAGCUGAAAGGUAUCGAUCAGCGCCUCUGUCCAAUCCCCUGCUGCCCGAAUGUGGACAGAGAAGAAGCUUUCCUCUGGUGCAGAAGUGAUGGUGAACGGAUGCCACUCCAGGUAGGAGAUGGAAGGGCAGUUGAGGAAGACGUACUGUCCCACUUCCAUCUUAAAAUCCAUCUUACACAGCUGCAGUUCAAGCACUCUUGAGGGGUGCAUGACAACCUGAAGAUAAAAGCCAUUGAGAUCUUAGGAGCAAAGAAAACCCAACCCAAACAAAAUACUAUUGCAUGUGACUGUCCAGCAUUUUCAGCUCGGUUGCAGUGGGUCUUGGUGCCCUGUCAGAAGGCAGGAGGGGAGACAGACCGACAUCUUCCCUGGCUCCCGUAGGCACAGAUCAAAUUCCCAAGUCUCCCGUGGCUUGUGCCAGCAGCAGCAUUUACCUUUGUGACAAUCACCUUCUGGCAGGAGCGCCAUAUCCGUAAGGCUCGCUCAAAGGCGUAGAGAAUGAGUGGGGCCAAGACCCACUUCCAGGACUUUAAACAAAGAGCAGAAAACAUUCGUGUCAGGAAGCUCCGUCACCUCCGCAAGAAGGCGUUUCCUCAAUUUUUGAAACCUUCCACCCUGCACAGCAUUCCUCUCCAGCAAAAAUAUUCCUCAAGAACAAAAUCAGAACUGAACCAGUGUGGGUGGCUGGGAGUGCUUAAGCUAUUUUUAAUUGCUCUUUAAGGUUUAAAUUUCACGUAAAUGUUCAGAUGUAUAAUUUGUUCCCCCUGCCCAAUUAAUCACACAGUCAUAUUUCGGACUUGCCAAAUAUACAAUAUCUCAGCUGA
Molecule: long non-coding RNA, 3921 nt
Organism: Varanus komodoensis (Komodo dragon)
Lineage: Eukaryota; Metazoa; Chordata; Lepidosauria; Squamata; Varanidae
Exons: 2
Source: RefSeq, a predicted model, not a curated record